CCCAUAGGUUUAUUUUUAGUUCCGCUCCCAAAAAGUCCUGAACAGCGAUUGGAAUUCCAUUUUCCCGAUUCUAAAAUCCCAAACUCAAAUGAAAUGGAUCCAUCGUUGUUAGAGAACAGUAUCUCUUGGGAUUUACUCGAUUAUACCUUCAUCGGCGGCAACCCUUCCCCCGAAUUCUGUUUGCCCGAUCAUAGUGCUAGCGUGGAAUUUGAUUUUUCGUCUGGGCGAGAGGAAGAUUGCGCCCAAAGAGAGUGCUCGCGGAAGAGGGGGAGAAAUGAUUCAUGCAGCAGGCCUGUCUCUAAAGCUUGCCGUGAGCGAUUGCGGAGGGAGAGAUUGAAUGACAGGUUUCUAGAGUUGAGUUCUGUUUUGGAUCCUGGGAGAACUGUCAAAACUGACAAGCAUGCCAUACUUGAUGAUGCAAUCAGAAUUUUGAACCAACUGAGAUCUGAAUCUCAAGAACUUAAAGAGACAAAUAAGAAACUACUGGGAGAAAUACAAAGUCUAAAGGCGGAGAAGAAUGAACUUCGUGAAGAGAAGCUCGUGCUGAAGGCAGAUAAGGAAAGGUUGGAACAGCAAUUGAAAGCUAUGGCUAUUCCACCUGCUGGGUUUAUACCAGGCCAUCCAGCUGCAUAUAAUGCUGGGCCAAACAAGAUGGCAGUUUUUUCCAGCUAUGGGUUUGUUCCAAUGUGGCAAUACUUGCCUCCAGCUGCCCAUGAUACAUCUCAUGAUCAUGAGCUCAGGCCCCCUGCUGCAUAGUUUUUUGAUAUUGGAUUGGCAAAAUGUGUAGUCUGGUGGACUUUGUCUUCUAAGUUCAAUCAUCUGAGUAAACUGAUCUCAAGCGCACAUCAAAUAUAUGUCUCUCCUAGAAACUUUUGCGCGAGGUAUUUUUGCAAGCCUUUCUUCCUUCUUGCCAGAGGUGGAGAUUUUGAAAAGACUCUGAAUUGCUGAAGACAUGCAAGGUUAUCUGCUAAGAAGGCCGGGAACGAUUUAAGGUUCGCACUGUGAUCCUUCCUUAAGAGCGGAAGGGAGAAUCAAUUUCUUGUUUUCCUUUUGCUCUUUGGAAGUCAAAUAAGUUUGCUCUUGGGAGUCGCUGUGAACAGCUUGUUGGUCACCAUCUUUCCCCCACAGCAACAUGUAUAGGCCAAGGAUGACGAUGAUUGCCCCUAGUAUGCUGAACAAUGCACAUAUGAAGUUUAGAAUAAACAAAUUCUUCUUGUUUCUCUCUUCGUAAAAACUGAAAAUUGAAGCUAUAUAUUGUGAAGCAUGGAGAUCAUAUGAAUGCAUAAACUGUAAGUACUGCAUAUAGAUAGAAGUAGAACGACGCUGUAUUUACCUGCCCAUGUAAAGUUUUUCUCCAAAGACAAAGUAUCCCAGAAUCGCUACUAAUAUAGUUGAAAGGGGAUUAAACACGGUCACAAAAACUGGACCUCUUUCUUCCGUGCACCACAGUUGGAUGAAGACGAUCAAACCAGAGACCACUAUUCCCUGUAAUGUGAUCUCCAAGAUCAAGAUUUUAUCGAAAUCUUAUAUCUGUAUUUCUACAUUAAGAGACUAUUUGUACUUACACCAUAUAUGGUGGACCAGAAAUCAAUGUUGAAUCCUAUGGUCCAAGCUGCUCGUUUAUGUUCUAUGAUCACUGUGAAUACAGCUGAUUGUGCUCCUCCGAUAACGCUCAUCCAUGCGGUCAGUGACAGUUGGGCCGGAUAUCUUUUUAAUGUAAAUGCCUAAGAUUUCCAGAGGAUUAUCCACCAACGUUGCAUGUCA
This is an RNA transcript of Juglans microcarpa x Juglans regia, 1764 nucleotides long. It is a transcript of the gene named transcription factor bHLH104-like, with no coding region annotated. NCBI's taxonomy places the organism in Eukaryota, Viridiplantae, Streptophyta, Magnoliopsida, Fagales, Juglandaceae. The transcript is spliced from 7 exons. The record is from RefSeq and is a predicted model, not a curated record.